Molecule: transfer RNA, 75 nt
Filed under: Planctomycetota bacterium
Lineage: Bacteria; Pseudomonadati; Planctomycetota
Description: Planctomycetes bacterium (groundwater metagenome) tRNA-Thr
Rfam family: tRNA
About the family: Transfer RNA (tRNA) molecules are approximately 80 nucleotides in length.
Source: RNAcentral
GCUAGCGUAGCUCAACGGUAGAGCAUCCGCCUUGUAAGCGGAUGGUUGGGGGUUCGAUUCCCUUCGCUAGCUCCA